Molecule: long non-coding RNA, 2447 nt
Organism: Mytilus californianus (California mussel)
Lineage: Eukaryota; Metazoa; Mollusca; Bivalvia; Mytilida; Mytilidae
Exons: 3
Source: RefSeq, a predicted model, not a curated record
GACGUUACCAUGGACCUUUGACGUUCUACACAAUCAACAAGAUUUGUGUGUAGAAGCCAUAAAUGUCGCAGGGUUAAAGAAAACUAAAGGAAUAUGGACUGGGUUAUGACUUUAAUAAGCAGUAUAUGAAGAUGUUUGUAAGACAGAGAUAUUUUAAAAAACUAUCCGCUUCGACCCAGAAAAAGUACACGAUUCCCUUAGGGCCAGGACAUUAAAUUCUUGAAAACAACCAGAUGCCCAUGUUCUUUUAUUAUAAAGCUAAUGAUUGAACAAUGAUGACCACAAGAGAUUAGCUGUUAUAAUUUACAGAUUCAGGUUUAAGACAUGACUGCAUUAAAGUUACCAGUUUUAUUAGUAUGUUUGCUUGCAAUACAUCACACGGUGGCUGCACCGGCAUCACAGAUAAGAAAGAAGUUCCACGUGCCAACAGACGGAUCAUGUGAUUCUACAUCUUUGUUGAGAUGUCUGGUGAGCUCGACUACUACAUUAUAUGAUGAAUGUGUUACCAAGUGUGAGAAAAACUAUGAUACAAGACACAAAUGCCAAAAAGUCUGUUAUGAAAGAGGUUAUACAACACUUGAAGCUUGUAUAAUAAAAUUUAGCAUCAGAGCUAAGUAUGAGUUUUAGUGACGAUUUACGAUUGAAUAUUACGAUUCCGGAUUUGUGGCGAUUGGAACUUUGAACAUAAAAAGUUAUAUUUAUUUAGCAUAUCUGACUUGCUUUAUAAGUUCAUACGAACAACCAAUACUGCUGCCUUUAUGAGAAUUUCGUAUAAAAAUAUGUUUGAAUUUUUGCUUAACGGUAUGUUAUGUGUAUUUCAUACCAUAUUUAAGAGGUAAUCGUAUAUUUACUUUGAAAAAUCCAUUUUUGUUUAUAUUUUUGAUAUAAGUAGUGUUGAUAGAAAAAGGGUAAUCCUUCUAUUUUAUAUUUUGCAUAGGGAAAAAUUAAAAUUGUAGUUUUGUCGUCAUGAGCAAUUUUUGAAACCGCCGGCCUUAUGCCAUGGUUGUGAUUUAAAAAACAUUAUUUUAAAGGUGAGUAAAUAGAUUUUCUUUUAAGGUGGCUCGGGAGUCUUCCUCCAUUUUGGAUUUUGAAAUAGCAUAUAACGUUGGUCUAGAUCUUUGAUGAAAUGUGCAAAUUUUGAGAGUAGUAUGUAAUUUAUGUGUAAGACUUGAUGUAAAUAUAGAAAAUUGUGGGUUUUAUCAUAAUUACAGCUGUAAUUUCUAAAAAAAACACCUUAUUUGUGUUUGAUUAAUUUUUUUUUAACUUUGCCAAAUAAGGGGAGAUAACUCAGAUAAAGUAAUUUUUAUAAUAGAAAUUGUUGUAAAUUUACCUAUUUUAAUCUGCAGCAAGAAAACAAGUUCGGUGACCCCAUUUUUUCUUUUUCUUAUCUGAAAGCAUGUAAUAAGAGCUAUCUUCUCACAUUUUAUCUUAAAAUUCUAUCAUGCAGUUUUCUUUUUAUCACACACAAUUUGAUUUUCCAUGCAUAAUCUAUACAAAAUCUGACAAUUUUGCACAACCUGUAGCGUAAAAAAAAGUCUGGUGACCCAUACUUUUUAUUAUAUUUUUGAAAAAAGCAUGAUAAAAACUUCAUUAUGACAAAUUAUUAAAAAAUUCUAUCAGUUUUAAUUAAGACACCCCAUCUACCUUAAAAGGGCACUUGAAAACAAGCUAAAUUUCUCGAAUUCAGUGUAGAGAGUAGCUUGAAAUAACUCUCUCAUUAGGUCUUUAUCGCUUUUAUUUAGUUUAUUGAAGGAUGUUCUUGUCCAUGAAAUUCACAUAAUCAUUUUGUCUUUAUUUUAUUUAACAAGGCGUAUUUAAUUUUACGAGACCAAAUUUAUAAGUUACACAUCAUUAAGAUUUGUUAACUUUUUCAAAUGUUACUGUUUUCAAAUGAAUUUUCAUGACAUGUGUGAGUGUUGCAUCCUUUAAACAACUGUUACAUUGGAAACAAAUCGAAUUAUUGUUUCCUGACGAAAAUUUGUGUGAUGUUUUAUGAUAAAGACAAUUGAAAAGUGUGCGUUAGUAUAAAAUUAUAAAUCAUCUUAUUGAGUAAAUGAACUGCUAUAAUUCAUUUAAUUAGAAAUUCAUUACUUCAACAUUUGAAUACGUUAAUAAACCAGUUUAUUCAUUUACAAUGUUUUUUUUUUUGUUUUUUCGAUGAUUUAUUUCAAUUACAUGUAAAUAAGACUCAUGUUAUUAGUAGUAUACCUAUGGGAAAUUCUGCACUCUUACGAAUCUCAUAAAUGCAUCAGGGGAUAUCGGGGGCAUUUCUAAUGUAUCACCAGCCUGUCAACACUGAGGUUGUGAGAUCGAACCCUGCACGUGGCAGGUGCACUUGACUCAGUCCAAUCUUAAUUGACAAGGAUUGCCAGUUUUACAGCCGAAGGUCGGCGGUUCUCCCCAGGCACUCCUGCUUCCUCCAACAAUAAAAACUGGCCGUUACAAAA